UACGUAGGGUCCGAGCGUUGUCCGGAAUUAUUGGGCGUAAAGCGCGUGUAGGCGGGAUAGCAAGUCGGGUGUGAAAGCCCUCAGCUUAACUGAGGAAGUGCGCCCGAAACUACUGUUCUUGAGUGCCGGAGAGGGUGGCGGAAUUCCCGGUGUAGAGGUGAAAUUCGUAGAUAUCGGGAGGAACACCAGUGGCGAAGGCGGCCACCUGGACGGACACUGACGCUGAGACGCGAAAGCGUGGGGAGCAAACAGG
Molecule: ribosomal RNA, 253 nt
Filed under: uncultured bacterium
Lineage: Bacteria
Description: partial 16S ribosomal RNA
Rfam family: Bacterial small subunit ribosomal RNA
Source: RNAcentral